RNAcentral lists this small RNA (104 nucleotides) under Marmota monax (woodchuck). The record is from RNAcentral. Lineage: Eukaryota; Metazoa; Chordata; Mammalia; Rodentia; Sciuridae.
GCUGGGUGAUGUGCACACCUGUGAUCCCAGCUCCUUGGGAGGCUGAGGUGGGAGGACUGUAAAUCUGAGGCCAGCCUGGACAACUUAGCAGGACCCUGUCUCUA